Vicugna pacos (alpaca) is the source of this 4665-nucleotide non-coding RNA. The record is from RefSeq and is a predicted model, not a curated record. NCBI's taxonomy places the organism in Eukaryota, Metazoa, Chordata, Mammalia, Artiodactyla, Camelidae.
AUUCUGUAUUUCAGUAUUCGCAUGUUCUAUAUGGUCUAUAAUUAAAGGAAAGAAACUGCAUUUCCAGCAGUAGUAACUUCUUUAAAAGUAGGCAUUUGUUUUAAGACUCCUCAGAUAGGGUUAGAAUAAUUGAGCAUCAUAAAGAGGAGUAAAUUUUUCACGUAAAUCUUUCAGUUAAAUUUCUUUUAAAAAUUUUUACCUGUAUUUGUUUUGAAAUGGAACCUUGAAAAUUUAUGUUUUAAAAGUCUCAAUGGAGUAAUAGCCUCUGUAGUGCAGCAUCUAAGUAUGUACUCAAAUAUGAAAAAUUAUUCUAAUAAAGGGAAAUGCUAUUGAGCAGCUGCAUCUAAGAGAUUACAUUGUUUAUAUACCCUUCUAUCACAGCCACAAAUUAAGAAAUAAAAGUAUGUCAUUACUGUCAAGAAUUUGAAAAGUAAAACAUUUCCCACCUUUAAAAGUUAAGAAAACAGUUCUUACAGGUGGUUGACUGUGAGUUUUCUUUCGUGUGAUCUGCUUGUCGUAUGAGAUGUAUUUUGAAGAAAUGGUGGCAGAACUUAUACCACCGUGACUUACAGAGCAUUUUGAGUAGAACUAGGUUGUUGCUAAGGCUUUUCCUUUUUAGGUACACACAAGAAGCUCAAACCCACUGCUGUCAUGUGUGAAAGGUGUUUCAUUAAACAUAAAAAGACCAGAAUUAACUAUGCUUUUCAGCCAGGCAGUGCAGGGAUUUACAUGUGUCAUUAAGAUAGUCUUCUUUUGAAGGGCUGCCGAAACAGGGAAAGACCUGGGUGUCAUAGAGCUGCAGUGCUGAUGACUCAUUGCUGCAGAUAACUCAGUUUUUCUUUCCUCUUCUUUCUUUCUUUUUUUUUCAAGUACUUGGAAUAAAAGUAUUCUACAUAUCAGAGAGGAUUCUUUUGAAAUAAACAUUCAGAAGCUCUAAGAGAAUACCCACUGUAUUGUAGCCAACCUGCGCUGGACUUUCUGUAGGACUAAGGAUUGACAUUCAUUUAUUUGAAUACCUGUGUAGGAUCUAAGGAUCUAUAAAUAAGUACUGUUGUAAAAUAGACUGUCACACCCUCAUCCCUGCCCAUUCCCAAAUAACCAGGCAGAUGACUUUUUUGUAUGUUUAGUUAUUAGCAUCUUGGCCCUUAAUAUUUUAAGCUCUUUCUUCAGUAUUUAGUAAAAAGGUGUAAUGAGAUUGGAAGAACAGUAGAGAAGAAUGAUAGUUACUCACUUAUGAAGGGUGCUUUUUCUUGUCUCUUCUUGCUUUUGAAAGUGAUUUUCCCUGUUUCCUCAAAAUGACUUUGUAUUUUUUUUAAGUUUAAUAAUUCAUCUUUAAGCACUCCUUAGUACAUACUUAAUACAUAGUCUGAAAAUGAUAAGAGUAUCAUUAUUUUCUCAAAUUGUUGUCUGUUGUAAUUCUGUAUUAUUCUGUUAUUUUUUCAUUUCCUUAUUUUACAGUAAAAACAUUUAAAUUAUUUAAUAAUAAUAUUAGGUAACUGUGUUGGGAUGAAUAUUCUCAGAGUUCCUAGAGGAAUUGAUUAUAAAAGAAUGAGGAGGAACUUGAUUUAAAAAAAUUUUUUAAUCAUUUCUGUAGUCUUAAAGUUGUCAAAAUAACUCUAUGGAAAAAAGAACAUAUGUUAUUUAGUAAACUGCAGCUUGUUAUUUUGCUUUAUCUGCAUUCAGCUUUGCCUCAUGCAGCAGACAUUUGCUGCUUGCCUUCCUAGCCUACUAUUCCUCAUUGUUUCUUCUCUGAAACCAUGUGGUUCUGGGGAACUGUCUACCCAGAAUCCAGAGGUAGAGCUUAUGGGCUAGGAUUAGUGAAUCAUUGCCUUCCACAUUCUCUUCCACAGUGAUUGGUUCAGAAGGUGUUUGACCUAGACCAGUCCAAUCAAAUCUUAGGACUUUUCCUGGGAAUACAUUUUUUUGUUGCAUGUGAGCAAAAGGCAUGUAGUCCUGGGGUCUGCUAAGUUCAUGAGAGGAGCCAUGUCUGGAAUAAAACUAAUGCUAUAGAAGGCCGUGUAGAGAGACUGAAAGAAUAGAGGUUCUUGGUGACCUUGCUGCUUAGGGAGUUUGCCGUUAUGUUAGCCUUUCUUAUUCGACCAGACUGAGUUGGGUUUUCUGUUGUAACUGAAACUGCCUCACUGGGUAAGUGAUUCACUUGUUGUCUCUGAUCAGCUCAGAACUGGUUGUUGAAUGUUUCUUCUACCUUUACUAUCACCAUCUAUUGACCCCAUGCGAUGAGUAUUUAUUGACUUGAUCCAGCUGACAUAUAGGUCAUAUACCUCAUAAGCCCUCAUGAGAAAUGUUUGUUAUACUCCUAUUGAGUCAGGAAGAGAUGGAUACAGAAACCCUGGAAGACUUUCCCUCCUGAAUUUGGUGUUCUUAUGAGGAAGAUCUGGAACUGUGAUAGUGCCAGCUUGACUUUCAGAUUAAACCUCAUUACACAAAAGGAGAAAAUGACCCCCAGCCUUCUGGGCAUCAGCAGUAGGUUAUCUGUUAAACUUAUUGUAGAGAGUGGAUCCCGGCUCUUCCCGAAGCAGCCAGGUGUUUGCUGGAAAGUGCCCAGAGAAGAGCCCCACCCGACCCCAGCACUUGUGCACCCGGAAGCCCGAUGGAUUCCCGGACCACCUCUGUGUGAUCAGCAGCCACAUUCCUUUCUACCCUCUCUAGUCCUCGGACCCGUCCGCCACUAACCUCCCCUCUUCUGACUCUGUCUGUGCACUAGAGCAAAUAUGGCAAAGGGGAUUUGAUUGAAAGAAGCUGCCUGGAAAAAUACUAAGAAUUGUGAGGCUAUGAGUGUGAAAGACACAAGUGGUGGCUCUGGUGGCUGGUCCUGCACCCAUGCAUUUCUGUCGCUGGAAAAAUUGACCAUGGGUGAAGGGUGAUUGCAUUAAGUCAUUGUCUUAAAUGAACUUGACUCAGGGCUUUUAGUGUUUCUUCUUCCUCAGUUCUUAGUUUUUUUCUCUCUUUAUGAAAAAAUAGGAGCGUCGUGAUCUUGCUGUUGAAGGUGGAAAGCGAGAGAUAUCCUAAUUCUGGACUAGUAUUUACUUUUUAUUUAGAAAGAGUUAGGCAAUGCAUAUAAAAUCCCCAAAUUUGGAAAAAGAGCAACAAAAGAUAUUAAAAUGCUGUAUACUUCUCCAAACUAAUGAAGUAAUAUUAUCUAUUUUACUAAUGGAGAAGCAAAUAGCUAAGAAAAUUCAGUGAUUAUCAGAAAGAACAGUCACCAGCCCUUGUCUUGUUUACUUAGCUACCUCACAUUAAAUUGUUUUUCCCACUAUUUUCAAAGUUCAGGAUAGUGUCAUUUAAGAUGCUACUUGUCAAAUUCUUAAGUUGUAUUCAUUUGUAUAAUUCACCACUUGAUUCAUCAGCAAGGCUCAACUAUACAAAUAGAUAGAACAUAAAAAUGUGAAAUGGAUCCUGUAAGCAGCAAAUUAAAGUCUCAUGUAGUUCAUUGCUAAUUAUUUAAGUUUAAAUUAUGAUGCUUCCUUUUUAUUUUUACUAAAAUGUAUUUAAUGUCCACUUAGGGAAGAUAUGCUUAAACUAUUAACAACAUUUGCCUCUGUGAGAAUUAUCUAAAUAUGUCACAUAUCUGGGUUUAAAGCUACAAAUAUAUAUUUACCAUUUUUCCUUCCUUUAUUAAAAAUGAGAAACAGAAAGGAGACUUUUAUUUUCAACUACUUUUUGAUAUUUUUGAAUUAACACGAUACCUAAAGGGGCUACUAGAAAAAGUAACGCAGUUAAGAGACUCCCUUAUGAUCACCUAUUUUCUCAGUAAGACUUAGAGUUCUUUUUAUUUUGUUUUUUCUAGUAAAUUUUUUAAAGGAGAAAACAUUUUUGAGUGCUCAUAAUGUAACACUACUGUAUUAGGCACUUUACAAGCAUUGUCUCAUUAACUCAUGAAAACUUUGUGUUUGAGGUACUAUUAUUUCCAUUUUUUUACAUAAAAAAUUGAAAUUCAGGAAGAUUAAAUAAGCUGCCCAUAGUCAAAUAGCCAGUAACUUGAAGAACAGAGAUUUUAAAUACAGAUUUAUUUGAACCAGAGACGCAUGCUUAUUUCACAAUUCUGUGCUGCCAGUCUAUUAAUGACCUAUGUGUUUCCCAGAGAAUGUUACUAUCAUACAUUUUUUGUGCGAGCCUGUGUACACACACACACACACAUUUUUAUUACACGUAUGUUGUAAAAUAAAAGCUAACUUUUGUUAAACAAACAAAAUGUAGAUUACUGGCUCCAUCCUAAAUCACUGAAUAACUUUUUUUUUCAUAUUUUCUCAUGUCUAUCCAGAAAGACAUGCUGCUAAUCUGAAUUCUGAUAAAAUAUUCCUGAUCACCUGGCUGUUAAAAGACAUGUUGCAAUCAACCUAGUUUAGUUUAUUUUAACACGUUUAUGAAUUAUUCCUGUCUAAAUCUAAGCCAGAGAUUAGAAAAUUAUUUCUUAAAGUGUCAGAUUAAAAACUGUUUGCAGCUUGCCAGCCGUAAGGUCCCAGUUGUAACUGCUACAGUUAGAAAGCAGCCCUAGACAAUAUGUAAAUGAAUGACUUGGCUGAGUUCCAAAAAAAACCCACUUUACUUACUAAACAGGCAGCCACCCACAGGCUGUAGUUCCCUGAUCGAAACCACUGCAUAUACCAUGUGGGCUAAUAAAUGGAUUUAACCUUUCACAUCUCA